GAUGAACGCUAGCGGCAGGCCUAACACAUGCAAGUCGAGGGAGAAGCCCUUUCGGGGGCCGAAACCGGCGCACGGGUGCGUAACGCGUAUGCAACCUACCUUUCACAGGGGGAUAGCCCGAAGAAAUUUGGAUUAAUACCCCAUAAUAUUAUUGGAUGGCAUCAUUUGAUAAUUAAAACUGCGGUGGUGAAAGAUGGGCAUGCGUCCUAUUAGCUAGUUGGAGUGGUAACGGCACCCCAAGGCUACGAUAGGUAGGGGUCCUGAGAGGGAGAUCCCCCACACUGGUACUGAGACAGGGACCAGACUCCUACGGGAGGCAGCAGUGAGGAAGAUUGGUCAAUGGUCGGAAGACUGAACCAGCCAUGCCGCGUGCAGGAAGAAUGCCUUAUGGGUUGUAAACUGCUUUUAGAUGGGAAGAAUAAGGCGUACGUGUACGUUGAUGACGGUACCAGAUGAAUAAGCAUCGGCUAACUCCGUG
RNAcentral lists this ribosomal RNA (478 nucleotides) under uncultured bacterium. RNAcentral describes it as "partial 16S ribosomal RNA". It matches the Rfam family "Bacterial small subunit ribosomal RNA", at positions 28 to 507 of the family's 1533-position model. The record is from RNAcentral.